UACGGAGGGGGCUAGCGUUGCUCGGAAUUACUGGGCGUAAAGGGCGCGUAGGCGGAUUGCAUAGUUGGGCGUGAAAGCCCCGGGCUCAACCUGGGAACUGCGCUCAAUACUUGCAGUCUAGAGUUCCGGAGAGGGUGGUGGAAUUCCCAGUGUAGAGGUGAAAUUCGUAGAUAUUGGGAAGAACACCAGUGGCGAAGGCGGCCACCUGGACGGACACUGACGCUGAGGCGCGAAAGCGUGGGGAGCAAACAGGAUUAGAUACCCUGGUAGUCCACGCCGUAAACGAUGUGUGCUAGACGUCGGGCAGCUUGCUGUUCGGUGUCGCAGCUAACGCACUAAGCACACCGCCUGGGGAGUACGGCCGCAAGGUUA
This 372-nucleotide ribosomal RNA is filed under the name uncultured prokaryote. RNAcentral's name for it is "bacterial SSU rRNA". It matches the Rfam family "Bacterial small subunit ribosomal RNA", at positions 524 to 896 of the family's 1533-position model. The record is from RNAcentral.